This 303-nucleotide ribosomal RNA is filed under the name uncultured bacterium. RNAcentral's name for it is "partial 16S ribosomal RNA". It matches the Rfam family "Bacterial small subunit ribosomal RNA", at positions 507 to 809 of the family's 1533-position model. The record is from RNAcentral.
AGCAGUCGCCGCGGGAAUACGUAGGUGGCGAGCGUUGUCCGGAAUUAUUGGGCGUAAAGGGAGCGCAGGCGGGCGAGUAAGUCUUUCUUAAAAGUGCGGGGCUCAACCCCGUGAGGGGAGAGAAACUACUCAUCUUGAGUGCAGGAGAGGAAAGCGGAAUUCCUAGUGUAGCGGUGAAAUGCGUAGAUAUUAGGAAGAACACCAGUGGCGAAGGCGGCUUUCUGGACUGUAACUGACGCUGAGGCUCGAAAGCCAGGGGAGCGAACGGGAUUAGAUACCCGUGUAGUCCCUGUCUCUUAUACA